This 424-nucleotide ribosomal RNA is filed under the name uncultured prokaryote. RNAcentral's name for it is "bacterial SSU rRNA". It matches the Rfam family "Bacterial small subunit ribosomal RNA", at positions 355 to 796 of the family's 1533-position model. The record is from RNAcentral.
UGGGGAAUUUUCCGCAAUGGGCGAAAGCCUGACGGAGCCAUGCCGCGUGAGUGAAGAAGGCCCUAGGGUUGUAAAGCUCUUUCAUCGGUGAAGAUAAUGACGGUAACCGAAGAAGAAGCCCCGGCUAACUUCGUGCCAGCAGCCGCGGUAAUACGAAGGGGGCUAGCGUUGUUCGGAAUUACUGGGCGUAAAGCGCACGUAGGCGGAUUGUUUAGUCAGGGGUGAAAUCCCGGGGCUCAACCCCGGAACUGCCUCUGAUACUGGCAAUCUCGAGUCCGAGAGAGGUGAGUGGAAUUCCGAGUGUAGAGGUGAAAUUCGUAGAUAUUCGGAGGAACACCAGUGGCGAAGGCGGCUCACUGGCUCGGUACUGACGCUGAGGUGCGAAAGCGUGGGGAGCAAACAGGAUUAGAUACCCCGGUAGUCC